AGAGUUUGAUCCUGGCUCAGAUUGAACGCUGGCGGCAUGCUUUACACAUGCAGGUCGAACGGUAACAGGGAGCUUGCUCCGCUGACGAGUGGCGAACGGGUGAGUAAUGCAUCGGAACGUACCGUGUAAUGGGGGAUAACGUAGCGAAAGUUACGCUAAUACCGCAUACGCCCUGAGGGGGAAAGUGGGGGACCGCAAGGCCUCACGUUAUACGAGCGGCCGAUGUCGGAUUAGCUAGUUGGUGGGGUAAAGGCCUACCAAGGCGACGAUCCGUAGCGGGUCUGAGAGGAUGAUCCGCCACACUGGGACUGAGACACGGCCCAGACUCCUACGGGAGGCAGCAGUGGGGAAUUUUGGACAAUGGGCGCAAGCCUGAUCCAGCCAUGCCGCGUGAGUGAAGAAGGCCUUCGGGUUGUAAAGCUCUUUCGGCCGGGAAGAAAUCGCAUGGGUUAAUACCCUGUGUGGAUGACGGUACCGGAAUAAGAAGCACCGGCUAACUACGUG
This 504-nucleotide ribosomal RNA is filed under the name uncultured bacterium. RNAcentral describes it as "bacterial SSU rRNA". It matches the Rfam family "Bacterial small subunit ribosomal RNA", at positions 8 to 507 of the family's 1533-position model. The record is from RNAcentral.